CUACGGGGGGCAGCAGUGGGGAAUAUUGCACAAUGGGCGCAAGCCUGAUGCAGCCAUGCCGCGUGUAUGAAGAAGGCCUUCGGGUUGUAAAGUACUUUCAGCGGGGAGGAAGGGAGUAAAGUUAAUACCUUUGCUCAUUGACGUUACCCGCAGAAGAAGCACCGGCUAACUCCGUGCCAGCAGCCGCGGUAAUACGGAGGGUGCAAGCGUUAAUCGGAAUUACUGGGCGUAAAGCGCACGCAGGCGGUUUGUUAAGUCAGAUGUGAAAUCCCCGGGCUCAACCUGGGAACUGCAUCUGAUACUGGCAAGCUUGAGUCUCGUAGAGGGGGAUAGAAUUCCAGGUGUAGCGGUGAAGUGCGUAGAGAUCUGGAGGAAUACCGGUGGCGAAGGCGGCCCCCUGGACGAAGACUGACGCUCAGGUGCGAAAGCGUGGGGAGCAAACAGGAUUAGAUACCCCGGUAGUC
RNAcentral lists this ribosomal RNA (464 nucleotides) under uncultured bacterium. RNAcentral's name for it is "partial 16S ribosomal RNA". It matches the Rfam family "Bacterial small subunit ribosomal RNA", at positions 339 to 795 of the family's 1533-position model. The record is from RNAcentral.